This is a long non-coding RNA of Cyprinus carpio (common carp), 398 nucleotides long. NCBI's taxonomy places the organism in Eukaryota, Metazoa, Chordata, Actinopteri, Cypriniformes, Cyprinidae. The record is from Ensembl.
AUAAUGAAAAAAACUAAAAGAAAUUCAUUCAUGGGAGAAGAUCUGUGGAGCAUCACAAACCGAAGGAGAAUUAAACGAAGAGAAAAAGAAAAAUGCCAAACAAAGAGAGCAAGAGACAAUCUACUGAACCAGGAGAGAAACAGACACAGAGACUAACCAGAACAAACAGCAUCAAAAGUGGAAAACCAAACUUUUCUGAUGAUCCAGACAGUUUUAUUCAGAGAGACUCUCAGACGAGACAGGAGCAGCUUCUUUCACCGGACCAGCAGAAUGUACUUCAUAUUCAGUCACUGAUUAAACUAUGCAUAUUUUACUUUGUUUGUAUUUUAGUGUUAUUAUAUACUCAAAAUAUUAUAGACCUACUAAAUAUAAUCAACCAAUAUCAACACAACAGUUUU